AAUGGGUGCAAGCCUGAACCAGCCAUCCCGCGUGAAGGACGACUGCCUAUGGGUUGUAAACUUCUUUUGUAUAGGGAUAACCUACCCUCGUGAGGGUAGCUGAAGGUACUAUACGAAUAAGCACCGGCUAACUCCGUGCCAGCGGCCGCGGUAAUACGGAGGGUGCAAGCGUUAUCCGGAUUUAUUGGGUUUAAAGGGUCCGUAGGCGGACUUAUAAGUCAGUGGUGAAAGCCUGUCGCUUAACGAUAGAACUGCCAUUGAUACUGUAACUAUAGCUGGAAUAAGUAGUGUAGCGGUGAAAUGCAUAGAUAUUACCUAGAACACCAAUUGCGAAGGCAGGUUACCAAGAUAUAACUGACGCUGAGGGACGAAAGCGUGGGGAGCGAACAGGAUU
This 394-nucleotide ribosomal RNA is filed under the name uncultured Flavobacteriia bacterium. RNAcentral describes it as "bacterial SSU rRNA". It matches the Rfam family "Bacterial small subunit ribosomal RNA", at positions 370 to 779 of the family's 1533-position model. Lineage: Bacteria; Pseudomonadati; Bacteroidota; Flavobacteriia. The record is from RNAcentral.